Ictalurus punctatus (channel catfish) is the source of this 3183-nucleotide long non-coding RNA. The record is from Ensembl. Lineage: Eukaryota; Metazoa; Chordata; Actinopteri; Siluriformes; Ictaluridae.
GUGUAUGUAUGUUGUGUCUACUUGCCCGCCCUUGACUGUACGAGUGUGUGUGUGUGUUUUUAGCACUCCUCAGCUCGUACACUUCUUUUUGACUUUUUUGACUAUUACUGCUCUUAAAUUGCUCGUAAUUCCAAUCUGUCAAUGUCCGCCUAAUCCCGCUUCUAUGUGUCUAGGUGCCGGUGCCCGUCGUCAGUCCCCUCUCUCUCCGUUACUGGACCUGGAUCAGGAUUUGGACCUGGAUCUGGACACCCCUUAUGUUUAUUUUAUGACAUUUUUUAUCCACAACAUUAGAAAAACCACUUUCGUUUGCUUGUUUGCGCCUUCUUGUUCGCUCAAUUGCGUUUUCAGCGCAUAAAGAGCAAAAGUGUGUAAGGGGACACAGGAUGAAUGGGAACUAGUUUUGUUAUUGUACUUUUGAUGAAAAGUCACUUUCUAGACAUAAAAUGUCACUUUUUUCACCUUAUCAUACUUUUUCAUCAACUUUUGCAUUUUAAUGUAAACAAUCAUAUUUCGUAAUAUUUUGGGUCAGAAACAUUUCAUAGUACUAUAUUAUGUCUAACUAUGUGAAAACAAUCAAAUUGGAGUAGGUCGUGCACUUGAUUAUAUGAGUUUGUUAGAAAAACCACUUUCCUUUGCUCCUAGCGCCUUCUCGUUCGCUCUAUAGCGUUUUCAGAGCAUAAAGAGCACAAGUGUGUAAGGGGACACAGAAUGAAUGGGAACUAGUUUUGUUAUUGUACUUUUGAUGAAAAGUGACUUUCUAGACAUAAAAUGUCACUUUUUUCACCUUAUCAUACUUUUUCAUCAACUUUUGCAUUUUAAUGUAAACAAUCAUAUUUAGUAAUAUUUUGGGUCAGAAACAUUUCAUAGUACUAUAUUAUGGCUAACUAUGUGAAACAAAUCAAAUUGGAGUAGGUCGUGCACUUGAUUAUAUGAGUUUGUUAGAAAAACCACUUUCCUUUGCUCCUAGCGCCUUCUCGUUCGCUCUAUUGCGUUUUCAGCGCAUAAAGAGCACAAGUGUGUAAGGGGACACAGAAUGAAUGGGAACUAGUUUUCUUAUUGUACUUUUGAUGAAAAGUCACUUUCUAGACAUAAAAUGUCACUUUUUUCACCUUAUCAUUCUUUUUCAUCAACUUUUGCAUUUUAAUGUAAACAAUCAUAUUUCGUAAUAUUUUGGGUCAGAAACAUUUCAUAGUACUAUAUUAUGUCUGACUAUGUGAAAAAAAUCAAAUUGGACUAGGUCGGGCAACUGAUUAUAUGAGUUUGUUAGAAAAACCACUUUCCUUUGCUCCUAGCGCCUUCUCGUUCGCUGUAUAGCGUUUUGAGCGGAUAAAGAGCACAAGUGUGUAAGGAGACACAGGAUGAAUGGGAACUAGUUUUGUUAUUGUACUUUUGAUGAAAAGUGACUUUCUAGACAUAACAUGUCACUUUUUUCACCUUAUCAUACUUUUUCAUCAACUUUUGCAUUUUAUUGUAAACAAUCAUAUUUCAUAAUAUUUUGGGUCAGAAACAUUUCAUAGUACUAUAUUAUGUCUAAAUAUGUGAAAAGAAUCAAAUUGGACUAGGUCGGGCAACUGAUUAUAUGAGUUUGUUAGAAAAACCACUUUCCUUUGCUCCAAGCGCCUUCUCGUUCGCUCUAUAGCGUUUUGAGUGGAUAAAGAGCACAAGUGUGUAAGGAGACACAGGAUGAAUGGGAACUAGUUUUGUUAUUGUACUUUUGAUGAAAAGUCACUUUCAAGACAUAAAAUGUCACUUUUUUCACCUUAUCAUACUUUUUCAUCAACUUUUGCAUUUUAUUGAAAAAAAUCAUAUUUCGUAAUAUUUUGGGUCAGAAACAUUUCAUAGUACUAUAUUAUGUCUAAAUAUGUGAAAAGAAUCAAAUUGGACUAGGUCGGGCAACUGAUUGUAUGAGUUUGUUAGAAAAACCACUUUCCUUUGCUCCUAGCGCCUUCUCGUUCGCUGUAUAGCGUUUUGAGCGGAUAAAGAGCACAAGUGUGUAAGGAGACACAGAAUGAAUGGGAACUAGUUUUGUUAUUGUACUUUUGAUGAAAAGUCACUUUCUAGACAUAAAAUGUCACUUUUUUCACCUUAUAAUACUUUUUCAUCAACUUUUGCAUUUUAUUGUAAACAAUCAUAUUUCGUAAUAUUUUGGGUCAGAAACAUUUCAUAGUACUAUAUUAUGUCUAACUAUGUGAAAAAAAUCAAAUUGGAGUAGGUCGUGCACUUGAUUAUAUGAGUUUGUUAGAAAAACCACUUUCCUUUGCUCCUAGCGCCUUCUCGUUCGCUCUAUUGCGUUUUGAGCGGAUAAAGAGCACAAGUGUGUAAGGAGACACAGGAUGAAUGGGGACUAGUUUUGUUAUUGUACUUUUGAUGAAAAGUGACUUUCUAGACAUAAAAUGUCACUUUUUUCACCUUAUACUUUUUCAUCAACUUUUGCAUUUUAUUGUAAACAAUCAUAUUUCGUAAUAUUUUGGGUCAGAAACAUUCCAUAGUACUAUAUUAUGUCUAAAUAUGUGAAAACAAUCAAAUUGGAGGCGGUCGGGCAACUGAUUAUAUGAGUUUGUUAGAAAAACCACUUUCCUUUGCUCCUAGCGCCUUCUCGUUCGCUCUAUAGCGUUUUCAGCGCAUAAAGAGCACGUGUGUGUAAGGGGACACAGAAUGAAUGGGAUCUAGUUUUGUUAUUGUACUUUUGAUGAAAAGUCACUUUCUAGACAUAAAAUGUCACUUUUUUCACCUUAUAAUACUUUUUCAUCAACUUUUGCAUUUUAAUGUAAACAAUCAUAUUUCGUAAUAUUUUGGGUCAGAAAAAUUUCAUAGUACUAUAUUAUGUCUAACUAUGUGAAAAAAUCAAAUUGGAGUAGGUCGUGCACUUGAUUAUAUGAGUUUGUUAGAAAAACCACUUUCCUUUGCUCCUAGCGCCUUCUCGUUCGCUGUAUAGCGUUUUGAGCGGAUAAAGAGCAUAAGUGUGUAAGGAGACACAGGAUGAAUGGGAACUAGUUUUGUUGUUGUACUUUUGAUGAAAAGUGACUUUCCAGACAUAAAAUGUCACUUUUAUCACCUUAUCAUACUUUUUCAUCAACUUUUGCAUUUUAUUGUAAACACUCAUAUUUCGUAAUAUUUUGGGUCAGAAACAUUUCAUAGUACUAUAUUAUGUCUAAAUAUUUGAAAACAAUCCAAUUGGACUAG